This 108-nucleotide small RNA is filed under the name Marmota monax (woodchuck). The record is from RNAcentral. Lineage: Eukaryota; Metazoa; Chordata; Mammalia; Rodentia; Sciuridae.
GCCAGUCGUGGUGGCCCACGCCUGUAAUCUCAGCAGCUUGGGAGGCUGAGGCAGGAGGAUCACAAGCUUCUGGCUAGUCAGGCCAACUUAAGUGAAACCCUGUCUCAU